Molecule: non-coding RNA, 6619 nt
Organism: Zootermopsis nevadensis
Lineage: Eukaryota; Metazoa; Arthropoda; Insecta; Blattodea; Termopsidae
Source: RefSeq, a predicted model, not a curated record
GUAGCAGGCAUUUCCGGAAUUUGGUCUCCUCCUAACUUCCUCAUGAGUAUCAUUUUUAUUUGUUAUUGUUGUUCCCAAAUAUUUUAACUUUGUCACACAUUCCAAGGAUUUGUUAGCCACCCCAAGACAAUUCUACCCGCCUGUCUGCUGACGAAAUACUAACAUAUACUUAGUUUUUUUUAAUUUACUUCUAGCCCCACCUGUCUACUAGCCUCUAGUAAAACUUCUGUGUUCCUCUUUUAUUGUAUUUAUAUCAUCACCCAAUAAAUUAACAUCAUCAGCAUGCAUCUGGUGAUGGACGGUGUCCUGUUCUCUCUGGACGAGAAGGCGAUUCAGGAACUCCGUGUCGAGGACGGCCGCUCCUUUCUGAAAGUGUUCUGAAGAUGUUCCUAUAGAACAAACCUAAGAUCGGGACUUAGUCAUGUGCAAAAUUUUUACACCAUCUGCAAGUUAUUCAUACAACAACGCAGACCCGCCCAUUACCGAACUGAAGCAAAAUAUCAGCACUUCCCCAAACAAGAGUGUCCAUGCAAUAUGAGGUUUCCACCCACAAUGAAAAUAUCCUAAUCCCACCAUGCCAAGUGUGAAAACACAUGCAUGUCAACCACCCCUACUUGAUGACAGACAACCCUGGAAUAUUCAUCAAAAGUACCCUGUCAGAAAUAACCGUACCAGUCCCAGUCUUGUUCAGGAACACGUAAAACGCUGUGUGACUCGAUCGCCAUACCCAACUGAAACGACUUCAUGUCACAUACGUCUGACUCGCAGACUGACCAUAUAGACACUCUGAUAGGUAAACACAGGGAGACUGAAGUGAUCACCUGUCAAAUCUCAGAUUUACUUUGUUCAAUAUUUACAUUCCUCUAUUAGUACCAGUAAUCCAGCCAAUCUGACACACUUAAUUUCACAGUUACAUCCACAAUUCAUUCUUGGCAAUUUUAAUGCCAAGAAUGUUCUGCGGGGCUCAGCCCUUACUGAUGAAGGGAGAAGAUCAGUCUAUUAUAUGUGUGCUGUGUUUGACUUAAUUCUAUUAAAUACAGAUGCACAUAUGCACCUCUGCGUGGGGUCAGGAACCUCAUUUGCUGUGGAUCUGGCCUUUUGUAGUCCGGGACUUGCAGUCCAUCUUGACUGGUCUCUUCUUCUGGACUUACACUGUAGAGACCACUACCCAGUAAAUUUACACAUAUCUACACCAUCUCCAACAGUGUCAAGACAUCCGAACUACAUCACCAGCCGUGCUGACUGGGUUGGUAUCUCACAGUCAUUGAUCUUUGAGGACCAGAAAUUUCCUUCUCUUAACACAAUGGUGGAGUAUUUCAUUAGCACUGUAUUCCAAGGAACUUCACAAAAUAUCCCCAAGUCGUCCACCACACCCUGUAGCACACCUGACCCAUGGCAGACAGAUGAAUGUUGUAAAACAUAUUGUGCUAGGUAGCAAGCUAUGAGAUAUUUUAAAAUUCACCCUAUAUUGCAAAAUUUGAUAUAAUUUAAACGUUUCAGGGCCAAAGCCCAGCUUAUCAUGCGCAAUGCCAAGCACACUUCAUGGAAGACUGUCUCUAGCCUCUCCUAGUCUGCACGUUUAGAUGUAGUAUGGAUCAAAAUACGAUGUAUGUCAGGUAAAUGCAAUCAGACUCCCAUACCUGGCAUCUCUGUUGACGGCGUUUUCAUUACACCCCAAGCCAACAUCGCCAACAACGUAGUUUCUUCUCUCUUCAGUAUGUAGUUCUGACAUCUGUGAUACUUGUUUUAGAGAUGUUAAUAACAGCGCAGAAACAAUACACCUUAAUUUUACAUCUCAUGUCACCGUGCCAUAUGUCACAUUUAGUUUGGACGAACUACUGGCAGCAUUAGAACACGGCUGCAACACAUCCUCCAGCCCUGAUGGUAUCCAUAAUGAAAUACUUUCUCACCCCUACCUGCAGGCAAGAAGUUUCUUCUGUCCAUUUUCAACCGAAUAUGGAUGAAGAGGUUGAUACCAGGUGCCACGAAAGAAGCUACUGUUCUGAAACCAGACAAAGACCACACCAUGGCAAGUAGUUAUGGACCAAUCAGCCUCACUAGUUGCCUGUGCAAGAAAAUGGAGCGCAUGGUAAACCGUCAUCUUGUCUGGAUCCUGGAGACUCAAAAUCUCUCCAAUGCUAAAUUUGGAUUGCAACACCAUAGAUCAACCAAUGACCACUUGGUGAACCUGGAAUAGAACAUACAAACUGCCUUUAUUGUACUUCAGCACCUUGUUGCUGCCUUCUUCAACCUGGAGAAGGCAUAUGACACAACUUGGUGGUAUGACAUCCUCAUAACCCUUCAUCACUGAAAUCUCAAGGCUCGACAACCACUGUUUCUUUUUAAUUUCCUCUAAGGCUGUUAUUUUCUUGUAAAGAUAAUGAGGCUAGAAUAGUAAACUUAAUAUAUUUUCAAGAAUACCAUGUUCCCUCAUCAGUGAAUUCAUAAAUAUACUUGGAUUUCUAUUAAUGAAAGGACAUACAGAUUGUUCACAUCUUGAUAAUGUAAUGAGUAUCAGCCAGUGUAUCUGUUAAACAAGAGUUCCUCCCUCCCCACAGACUGGUGGCCAGACCUCUGGAUGAGGACAGCCAACCUGUGUGUGCACAUUGUACAGGCUCUAGACUUUUCACUAGUACCCUUCUGGCUGGUGAUAACUUAGAUAAAUACCUUGUGGGGCUGGUGGAGUGUGUUCUAGAACAAUCACCAUUUCAUUACAUACAAGAUGCUGCAAUUAGCCAGCCAAGUGGUGAGGCAGUGAGUGAACAGUGCGGAUUGACAAUUCAGUUUGGAGUCUGUUCCAGCUGAGUGAUCUGUAGUUCGAAGUCAAGGUAUGAAUAGUGUGAGCAGGGGAUUACCUGUCAUGAAGGAGUGGAUUUGAAAACUGGAAGUCACCAUGAACAUUGCGUUAUGUUUACUACAAGGACAAUUGUAAAUUACAAACAAACAAAACUGAAAAGACAGAAAUUAUAAUCAACAGUGAACAGUUAUUUCAUGUGUUAUUCUUUCAGUGUUUUCAAGUUCAGUAACCAAGGAUGACACUGAUCAAUAAAGUUUUGGUAACAUGAUUGAAAACUACCAUUUUCAUUAAUUUUGACAUGCUCAUUGCAGACAUGACUUAAAAAUUGUGCAUCACAUAACAGUGUAGAAGAGAAUAGUAAUGGGAAAGGGAAGAUGACAUUCAUAUGAGGGAAAAGUAACUUUAUGUGCUAAAUUUGUAAACAGAGUAGAAACUUUUGUAAUUUUCAUACUUUUCUGACAUAUUUUCUGUGUGUGUGUGUGUGAACCAUAAUUUAAGAUUAUAAUAUUUUAUUAGUGGAUUUCAAAUACAGGUUUCUUCAUCUGAGUCUUUUCUUACUGUUUUUCUUAUAUGAACAACCAUAAUUCAAGCAUAUGAUAUUUUAAUGGUCAUAUCAACUUUAAUCUCAAUCAAAUAACAUCCAUAUUUCAAACUGCAUAAUAGGUGAUACUUUACUUUAUGUGUUUUGAAUAACAUAAAAAUUAGGGACUAACAAAAAUCUGAGUAUGUUACAAUUUUUUUAUUGUUGUUUUCAUGAUCAGUGUACCUGAUUUAGUAAAAAGAGAUUAUUUUGCAUGAUAUCAAUGACAAAUAAAAAUUAGUUGUCCACUGUAAUUAAUUAUAAUUGAAAUCCAGCUUGAAGUGAACUCAUGGAAUCAGUAAAAUUGUUACAAUAGAAAGAUGACAGUCAAGUCUACUUGAUGUCCAGUCUUUCAGAGGGACUGACUAUGAUACCAGUCAGCAUUUAUUGGCUGCAAAGGGGGCUAUCAAACAAGGAACAUGUAACUUUUGGUAUGCACAGAUUAAAUCUGAAAAGGAUAAACAAUACAGAAGAUAAGGAACAGUGUCAGAUCAAAAUCUAAAACAGGUUUGCAGUUUUACAAAACUUGGAUCAUAAUCAUGGUCAAGUGAUUAGGACUUCUACUUUGUAUUCAAAAGUUCUCAGCUUCAAAUCUCAGCCCAUAAAUCAUCUAUCAUGACUGGGUUUUUGUGGUUUUCCGCAGUGCCUCCAGUACCUUCAGUUAGGCCAUAACCACAUCCCUACACAUCCUUUUUCAAUUCAUUAUUCACUAUCACCCUCUCGUUUGAUGGGUUGUAGUCUGAGUUGCUGAAAGCAUAAUUUAAAAAGCUCUUAAUAAAUAAAAUUUAGAUAUCAGUUGGACUUGGGAAAAUGUUAGAGAGAAUAUCAAAAUUUUAGCCUGAAUUUAAGCAAUAUAAAUUGCAGUCAUUGCAGAAUCUGAGCCAAAUGACUGGAGAUAAUAUUGACGUGUAAGACGUGAAGCUAGAAGAAGCUUCAGGACCAAAAGGAGGCAUAUUUUGAAGACAAAAUUAUGAGGUUUAAAUAAACAUUGGGAACAAAAAUGGUAGGGAUAUGUGCACUGUCAUAAAUGAGUUUAAGAAUGGUUACCAACCAAUAACUAACUUCAUAAAGGAUGAGAAUGGUCAUCUGCUUGCAGAUUCCCACAGUAUUUUGAAUAUGUGAAAGAAUUACUUUUGCUAUUUGUUGAAUGUUUUGUAUCUUAAUGAUGUUGGGCAGACUGAAAUACAUGCAACUAAGUCAUUAGCACCUGAGCAUAGCUGUUUUGAGGUUGCUGUUUAAAAGCUAAAAAGAUGUAAAUCACAUUCUGAUCAAAUACUUGCAGAAUUGAUCCAAGGAGGAGGUAACAUAUUAUGUUCUGAGAUCCACAAAUAUAUUAAUUCAAUUUGGAAUAGGAAACAACUGGCAGAGAAGUGAAAGGAAUCUGUUACUGUACCUGUACAUAAGAAGGGUGAUAGAGCUGACUAGUGAUUAUCAAGGAAUGUUGCUGUUUUAAACAGUACACAAAUUUUUAUUUAACAUUCUUCUUUCAAAUUUAAGUCCAUUUGUAACUGGGAAGGCUUCACCAGGAAGCUACUGAAUAAGACCAAAUAGGUCUAGAGUGCUUUGUUAUUGGAAAUUUUUUAAGAAGGAAAGGAUCAUUAGGCACUCUGAGUGAGUUGUAGGACCUUCUGUUAGGGUGUCAGUUCUACUGAUCCACUCUCUGCCACCCUUCUUUCUUCAUCCAAGACCACCUCUGAUUUGAGCACACAGGUCUCACCUUACAGGCUAUCAUCAUCAUUUCUGUUGGCCAGUGUUUCCUCUUGUACUCUUACCUCCUUACAUGUUGGUGGCUUCAUCUGCUUUAUCCUGCUCUUGCAUAACAUCUUUACCCUUGACCAUCUUUCUUCCAACCUGUGUCACUGCUUUGUCUAUCUUUGAUACCUCAAAAUGUCUUCCUUGAAUUCUGCACUAACCAGAAAGCCAGAAUUCCCCUUGAUUCCACCCUCAUUUCUAACCCCUGGCUGGUUUUUCCUUUUCUCUUUUCUGACAGCCACUUCUCUCAUGCUCUGUUGAUACUGUUUCCUGUUGACUGAGACCAUCUCCUUAUCCUCUCCUCAUACCUUGGCACUGUUUGUCCAGUCCCUCUGGUCUAGUCAUUCUCCUAACCCUACUCAAGUUGAAAUCUGGGAGCAUUUAUUAGAAAAUAGACAUUAUUUCAUGUCAAUUUUUGAAAUACUGCUUCAUGUUUCUAUGUGUUCUACAAAUUACACUGCAGAAAUGGAUUAGGAAGAGAUAGUUGUAAGGAUAAGGUAAUGGACAGAAUUUUUAAAUUUUCACUGCUUACUGUUUUGGAUAACCAAUCUUUCCUGAGAUGCUCAUCUAAUUAGGAACUUCCUGCCUGUUAUAGAAUGGGUAAAUUCAAUCCAGUCCAUAUAUUCACACCCUAUUUCUUUCAGGUCCCUUUAGUGGCAUCUUCUCAUCUAUGCUAAGGCCCCCAAGUGGUCUCUUUCCUUCACCUCCAAUCACCUUUCCCAUGCUACAUGUCUCAUCCUCAUUGAUAUGAUCACUAUAAUAUUUGGUGAAGGGCAUAAAUUAUGAUGCUGAUCAUAAUAUAGUUUUCUCCAGCCUCCUCUUAGUUCCUCUCAGGUCCAUAUAUUCUCUGCACCCUGUCCUCAAAACCACUUUGUCUUUGGUUCAUCUAGAUUUAAUCAGAGCUUGUAUAAAAUCUAAUUUUUAUAGCUUGGAACCAGACAGCAGAUUGAAGUAUUGUCCGUGAGGCACGAGAGUAGACGUGGCCUUAUCAGCUGUUGCUUGUGUGGCAGGGGGAAAGUGGGUUCUGCGCAUGCGCUGGUGAUGUAUUCCUUACCUAAGAACAUUGUGCUAUCGGUCAGUCAGUACGUUAGCUCACGACGUAUGGCCUGUAUAAGCUGCGGGUGUUUUUCGGUCCACUAGUAGCACAGAAUUCUACCCCACCUCCCCCAAAGAUGUUGGGUCUACUCUCAUGCCUUGCGGACAAUAGUUAUAACAUUGCUAUUUUUUUUACUUCUGAAAAUAACUGAAAGCCAACAGCUCUAAAUUAGUGAAUAGGGUAUUAGUGUCAUAGUCCUCACCUGUAUUGUUAUUCUACCUGGGAUACGCUGUAAGACAUCUUGUUCUCUCACAGAUGAAGUAGUCAAGCAUUUCUAUUAAUUCCUGAUGACCUCUGAAUGAUGCUCAGUGUCUUAAUACUCACAAAGGACACAACUAAUUAACAAAGACUUCUUUUGAAGUCAGAGCCUUCAGAUUUUUUUAACUUACAACAU